UCGUGUCGUGAGAUGUUGGGUUAAGUCCCGCAACGAGCGCAACCCUCACCUCUUGUUGCCAACAGGUCAUGCUGGGCACUCUAGAGGAACUGCCCCGGUCAACGGGGAGGAAGGCGGGGAUGACGUCAAGUCAUCAUGCCCCUUACGUCCUGGGCUACACACGUGCUACAAUGGCCAGUACAAAGGGAUGCGAGACCGCGAGGUGGAGCUAAUCCCAAAAAGCUGGUCUAAGUUCAGAUUGCAGUCUGCAACUCGACUCUAUGAAGGAGGAAUCGCUAGUAAUCGC
This 286-nucleotide ribosomal RNA is filed under the name uncultured Methylomirabilota bacterium. Its description in RNAcentral is "uncultured candidate division NC10 bacterium partial 16S ribosomal RNA". It matches the Rfam family "Bacterial small subunit ribosomal RNA", at positions 1060 to 1345 of the family's 1533-position model. The record is from RNAcentral. Lineage: Bacteria; Methylomirabilota (SeqCode).